AUUGAACGCUGGCGGCAUGCCUUACACAUGCAAGUCGAACGGCAGCACGGGUGCUUGCACCUGGUGGCGAGUGGCGAACGGGUGAGUAAUACAUCGGAACGUACCUUAUCGUGGGGGAUAACGCAGCGAAAGCUGUGCUAAUACCGCAUACGCCCCGAGGGGGAAAGCGGGGGAUCGAAAGACCUCGCGCGAUUCGAGCGGCCGAUGCCUGAUGAGCUUGUUGGUGGGGUAAAAGCCCACCAAGGCGACGAUCAGUAGCUGGUCUGAGAGGACGAUCAGCCACACUGGGACUGAGACACGGCCCAGACUCCUACGGGAGGCAGCAGUGGGGAAUUUUGGACAAUGGGGGCAACCCUGAUCCAGCAAUGCCGCGUGAGUGAAGAAGGCCUUCGGGUUGUAAAGCUCUUUUGUCAGGGAAGAAACACCGGCUCUAACACAGUCCGGGAAUGACGGUACCUAAAGAAUAAGCACCGGCUAACUACGUGCCAGCAGCCGCCGUAA
Molecule: ribosomal RNA, 501 nt
Filed under: uncultured bacterium
Lineage: Bacteria
Description: partial 16S ribosomal RNA
Rfam family: Bacterial small subunit ribosomal RNA
Source: RNAcentral